UAGCGAGUCGGUCCCACCCCUUCCCAUCCCGAACAGGACCGUGAAACGACUCUGCGCCAAUGAUAGUGCUGCAACCAGUGUGAAAGUAGGUUAUCGUCAGGCU
This 103-nucleotide ribosomal RNA is filed under the name Solimicrobium silvestre. Lineage: Bacteria; Pseudomonadati; Pseudomonadota; Betaproteobacteria; Burkholderiales; Oxalobacteraceae. The record is from RNAcentral.